This 253-nucleotide ribosomal RNA is filed under the name uncultured bacterium. Its description in RNAcentral is "partial 16S ribosomal RNA". It matches the Rfam family "Bacterial small subunit ribosomal RNA", at positions 524 to 776 of the family's 1533-position model. The record is from RNAcentral.
GACAGAGGGUGCAAACGUUGUUCGGAAUUACUGGGCGUAAAGCGCAUGUAGGCGGCCUAGCAGGUCGGAUGUGAAAUCCCUCGGCUCAACCAAGGAAGUGCAUUCGAAACCGCAAGGCUGGAGUCCCGGAGAGGAUGGUGGAAUUCUCGGUGUAGAGGUGAAAUUCGUAGAUAUCGAGAGGAACACCGGCGGCGAAGGCGGCCUUCUGGACGGUGACUGACGCUGAGACGCGAAAGCGUGGGGAGCAAACAGG